AAGUCGUAACAAGGUAACCGUAGGUGAACCUGCGGUUGGAUCAUUAAUAAAACAAUUAUUGAAUUUCCCUCUAAGGGGGGGUCUUCUCUAAACACACUCUUGUGAACUGUUGAUUGUCUCUUGGUGCGGGAACGGGUCUUAAAAAAAACCUUAGGGAAUAGUUCUUUACUAAUUCCGCCCACCAGCUUUAUACUUGAAACUUGAACAAAAAUACUCUAAGUCUUGAAUUUUAAAUUUUUAUCAAAAAAUUGUAAAAACAACUUUUAACAACGGAUCUCUAGGCUCUCA
Molecule: unclassified non-coding RNA, 288 nt
Filed under: fungal sp.
Lineage: Eukaryota; Fungi
Description: partial internal transcribed spacer region
Rfam family: Eukaryotic small subunit ribosomal RNA (bases 1-46)
Source: RNAcentral